GCCCAGAUGGCGGAAUCGGUAGACGCGCUGGUCUCAAACACCAGUGGGGCGACCCGUGCCGGUUCGACCCCGGCUCUGGGUA
Molecule: transfer RNA, 82 nt
Filed under: Bacteroidales bacterium
Lineage: Bacteria; Pseudomonadati; Bacteroidota; Bacteroidia; Bacteroidales
Also listed under: 2 other names
Description: tRNA-Leu
Rfam family: tRNA
About the family: Transfer RNA (tRNA) molecules are approximately 80 nucleotides in length. Their secondary structure includes four short double-helical elements and three loops (D, anti-codon, and T loops).
Source: RNAcentral